AACGCGAAGAACCUUACCAACCCUUGACAUGGGGAUCGCGGUUUGCAGAGAUGUUUUCGUUCAGUUCGGGUGGAUCCCAGACAGGUGCUGCAUGGCUGUCGUCAGCUCGUGUCGUGAGAUGUUCGGUUAAGUCCGGCAACGAGCGCAACCCACACUUUCAGUUGCCAUCAUUCAGUUGGGCACUCUGGAAGAACUGCCGAUGAUAAGUCGGAGGAAGGUGUGGAUGACGUCAAGUCCUCAUGGCCCUUACGGGUUGGGCUACACACGUGCUACAAUGGCAGUGACAAUGGGUUAAUCCCAAAAAGCUGUCUCAGUUCGGAUUGGGGUCUGCAACUCGACCCCAUGAAGUCGGAAUCGCUAGUAAUCGCGUAACAGCAUGACGCGGUGAAUACGUUCCCGGGUCUUGUACACACCG
Molecule: ribosomal RNA, 415 nt
Filed under: uncultured bacterium
Lineage: Bacteria
Description: bacterial SSU rRNA
Rfam family: Bacterial small subunit ribosomal RNA
Source: RNAcentral